This 565-nucleotide long non-coding RNA is filed under the name Androctonus crassicauda. Lineage: Eukaryota; Metazoa; Arthropoda; Arachnida; Scorpiones; Buthidae. The record is from RNAcentral.
GUUUAUUAUUUUUCGAUGUUUAUCUGGAUAAUAUUGAUAUUAUCCACUCAUUCUUGGAUAAUGUCACAUUCAAAGUUUGAAAAAAUAAUUCCACAUGCACAAGUUUUAUUUGUUGGCUUUGUGGCUCUGUAUGUGUAGACAAUUGAGGUUAGAUGAGAGGAGAUAUGUAUAGCAGAUUUCGAGAGUUUAGGUGGGGAGACAAUACAAAUGAACUGAUUAAAAAGCCGCUAAGAAUUCCGGUCUAAACAUUAACACAGACCUGAUGUUGAGAGCCAGCAAGACGUUGCACUUGAGGACUUUCUUCAGCUCACACAUGGCUAUUGUAGCUAGUCAGACAUUAUCCCAUGUAAAACAUGCCUCAUUUGUGAACAAAACUGCUCCCAGAAAAUCGGCGUCUUUGUUAAUCUUUCGACAUAAUGGAGAUGAAACACAAUUCAGCCAACAUGGAUUAGUUAAAAGAAAGAGACUUCUAAGGCACGAAGCUCAAAAUCUAUGCCUUGGAGAGGGUACAUUGUGAGGACAAAAAGUGCUUAUCUUUUUUUUCUUUUUAUCACUGUGAAGUUCA